This 485-nucleotide ribosomal RNA is filed under the name uncultured bacterium. RNAcentral's name for it is "bacterial SSU rRNA". It matches the Rfam family "Bacterial small subunit ribosomal RNA", at positions 1022 to 1515 of the family's 1533-position model. The record is from RNAcentral.
CAAGGCAUCUGUGAAGGUGCUGCAUGGUCGUCGUCAGCUCGUGCCGUGAGGUGUCGGCUUAAGUGCCAUAACGAGCGCAACCCUUGUUGUCAGUUACUAACAGGUUCCGCUGAGGACUCUGACAAGACUGCCAUCGUAAGAUGUGAGGAAGGUGGGGAUGACGUCAAAUCAGCACGGCCCUUACGUCCGGGGCUACACACGUGUUACAAUGGGGGGUACAGAGGGCCGCUACCACGCGAGUGGAUGCCAAUCCCCAAAACCUCUCUCAGUUCGGACUGGAGUCUGCAACCCGACUCCACGAAGCUGGAUUCGCUAGUAAUCGCGCAUCAGCCACGGCGCGGUGAAUACGUUCCCGGGCCUUGUACACACCGCCCGUCAAGCCAUGGGAGCCGGGGGUACCUGAAGUGCGUAACCGCGAGGAGCGCCCUAGGGUAAAACUGGUGACUGGGGCUAAGUCGUAACAAGGUAGCCGUACCGGAAGGUGC